Non-coding RNA from Camelina sativa (false flax), 1689 nucleotides. The record is from RefSeq and is a predicted model, not a curated record. Lineage: Eukaryota; Viridiplantae; Streptophyta; Magnoliopsida; Brassicales; Brassicaceae.
UUUUAUCUCAUCUGAAAACCUCUCUGGCUUGCUUGGAAAAUAUAUAUCACUUCUCCGUUCUCCGGCCGGCGGCAACGCAGUCGUGGUGUUCAAUAAGAGAGGAUGUUUGGUUGGGAAUCGGAUGCUGUGUGUUUUGGUUAAGUGAAUUUAAAAGCCUUGUGGAAUAUGUGGUUUGAAAACUAGAAAGGAUGAGCUAAGUCUUAGGAGAUCCUAAUUUUGCCGAGGUUUGUGUUGUGGAAUGGGAAAUUGAGGCCGGUUCCGUUAAAGCCAAACGACUGAACCGGUCUUUGACUUGUUCAGCAUUAGAGAAUUCAGAUUGGGGGUUGCUCUUGGCGUUUGAACACCAAUCUGAUUUUGCGGGCGCCUGCCAAAUUCAAAUGGCGAAACAGCUGUGUGUUUUUCAGGAAAAGACUCACAAUGCUGGCAGAGGCAAUCGCUACAAGGUUGGGAAGCAAAGUUAAGGUGUCUUGGAAGCUCUCAAGUAUUACUAAGCUGGACAGCGGAGGAUACAAUUUGACUUGUGAAAUUCCAGAGGGGAUGUUCUCUGUCCAGAGUCACAAGUGUUGAUUGGAGGGGUAGUUUUGAAGCGCUAUCCGCCAGUUGAAGCAGUAUCUGUCUCAUUCCCGAAAGAGGCAAAUCCGAAACGAAUGCUUGAUAGAUGGUGAUCUUAAAGGGUUUGGCCGAUUUCACCUACGCUCACAAGGAAGGCUCUUUGUUAUACUUAAGUUCCUGGUUAGGACUAUGUUCCCUAUGUUUAAAAAAUUAACGUCAUUGUUGGCAGAGCUACCAACACUGGGAUCUUAUCAAAGUCAGAAGGUGAGUUAGUGGAAGCAGUGGAUGAGAUGCUGAUAAUGCUGAUCCAGUUGUACUUGGAGUGAGUAAGAGUGUGGCCUCAAGCCAUUCCUCUGUUUCUGAUAGGUAACAUUGAUUUGUUAGACGCAGAGAAAGCGUCUCUUUCAUCAUUGGGUCAUGGUGGGAUGUUCUUGGGUGGCAACUAUGUUGCUGGUGUAGCAUUGGGAUUGAGGCGCUUGCAAGUUGCAACCCAAUUCAACAAUUUCAUGUCGAGGUACGCUUACAAGUAACAAGAAUAGAAUAAAAACCAAAUAGAGAUACUUAGAUUGCUGUUUUGACUUUGACAACAGUUUAAGCUUGUAAAGGUUUCAUUGAUCUUCUCAUAAGUUUUACUAGCCAAAAGGUGGGGAGAAUAAUACAAAAAGCAUGAGAGAGAGAGAGACAGAGAGAGAGAGAUCUCUAGAACAAAUCGAUCAUAACUCUUGAAUCUUGAGGAUCUUCGUGAAGAGGUGAGAUCUUGACGCUGUCGAAUCUUGUAGCCCUUGGAGAUUUCUGUUCAUGUGUGUAAUAGGUGGAAGUAGAAGAUGAUGACGUGAGAGGCAUGGAGGAAGAAGAAGGGAAUUCAGGGUUUGUAGGGUGUAGGAUUUCUGUGAGUAGAAGAACGAUUGACGCCAUUGAUGUUUGAUGAUGAUCAACUCUGAAAAAGAAGCGCUUGUUUCUUUGUGUGUUUGUAUGUCUUGUCAUGUGAUGAUUCUAAAUACUUGUUUAUAUAUAUAGAGAAAAACAAAAGAAGUGGGCCUGUGUGGUAUUGUGGAUCGAUGGUGUGUGUGUUUUAAAGUCCAACGGAGGAGAGAAUCCAGUGGGACUCUUAAAUCUUUGGCUGGCAAGUGGUUUUUG